Molecule: ribosomal RNA, 252 nt
Filed under: uncultured Bacteroidales bacterium
Lineage: Bacteria; Pseudomonadati; Bacteroidota; Bacteroidia; Bacteroidales
Description: partial 16S ribosomal RNA
Rfam family: Bacterial small subunit ribosomal RNA
Source: RNAcentral
UACGGAGGAUGCGAGCGUUAUCCGGAUUUAUUGGGUUUAAAGGGUGCGCAGGCGGAGGUGCAAGUCAGCGGUCAAAUUGCGGGGCUCAACCCCGUACUGCCGUUGAAACUGCAUCCCUUGAGUGCGCGAGAAGUAUGCGGAAUGCGUGGUGUAGCGGUGAAAUGCAUAGAUAUCACACAGAACACCGAUUGCGAAGGCAUCUCACGAAUCCGCGAUUGACGCUGAUGCACGAAAGCGUGGGUAUCAAACAGG